Molecule: small RNA, 3067 nt
Filed under: Pan troglodytes (chimpanzee)
Lineage: Eukaryota; Metazoa; Chordata; Mammalia; Primates; Hominidae
Source: RNAcentral
AUAUCCCAGUGUCCUUUGAAUCAACUUCCUUUUUUCUUUUUUCCGGCGUUCAAGAUGUCGAAGCGAGGUGAGGUUUUGUUUCUGUAGGAUCCUCCACCAUCUGUCGUGCAGUGGCUGGCGGAUUCGUCAGGAGCGGUGGCCCUAGGCAGCUGGGGCGCUUUGCUCUCCUUCAGGCCGGAGAGAGAGAGCCAGGCCACCGCGAGAGCACUGCCAGGGCCCUCGAAAGUGGCAGUGGGGUGCUGGAGAGUUGAGAUGGCAGGAUCCCGACGUGAAUGUAGUCUGGAUACCGCGAGAUCGGUCCGCGAAUAGGGCUAUCGUAAUGGGGUUGAAGUUAGACUGGAUUAGGCCCUGGUUUGCGCGACCUCUGCGGUUUUAUGCCUUGCAGGAGUAAUUGCGUUUUGCGAAAGUUAGAGCAAGGGCUGAGUCGUCUAGGUUUCUUAAUUUCGAUGUCAGAGUGUUAAUAGUAAGAAAUAGGCUACUUUCCGUGAGAAUCGGGUGGCACAUGGGGACGGCAUAAGUAAAAUCCGAGCGAGCUAAUCUAUAGCGUACAGUCUAUCAAAGCAUGUGCGGUGAAUUACAGCUUGAGUAUGAGGGGGAACUCCGAACCAUGUCUAGAUUGUGAUCUCUUUAUCCUGUUUCCCUUCCCUUUAUAUCCACAGGACGUGGUGGGUCCUCUGGUGCGAAAUUCCGGAUUUCCUUGGGUCUUCCGGUAGGAGCUGUAAUCAAUUGUGCUGACAACACAGGUGAGGUCUUUGCACGUUGCUAUACUCCCCCUUUUAAAAGCACUCAAUGGGCCUGUGGCUAAUGACCUAUUGAGCCGUCAAGAAAGGGGAGAGUGAAAACAUCGCUUUUGGGUGAAGUGGCAACAUGUGUUGUUUGCUUCAAUCGGUGGUGUGACAAGGCGUUCUUGCGGACUAACUGCUUGGGCAGUGAGUGGAGGGAGGGGCUUUGGAAGUGUUUGGGAAAUGUUAUACUGAUGGAACGGCCGGAUGGCCCUCAACAUUUUUUAUUUUUAUUUACAUUCUUUUGUAGGAGCCAAAAACCUGUAUAUCAUCUCCGUGAAGGGGAUCAAGGGACGGCUGAACAGACUUCCCGCUGCUGGUGUGGGUGACAUGGUGAUGGCCACAGUCAAGAAAGGCAAACCAGAGCUCAGAAAAAAGGGUGAGUAAACACUGAGCCCACCUUAAUACUGAUGAGUAGUGGGGGGACGCUUUCCUUUAUUGGAAAAUGGAUCAGUUUUCAAGGCCUCAAGUUUGUUUUCCAUUGAGAGGCAGUGUGAGAUAAGUAUCUUAAGUUUUUGCUCAUAUUGUGUUGGAGGGGGGACCAUCAUCUUGUCACUUCCAUACCUUAGUUGUUUUUUUGUUGUUUGGUUUGGUUUUUUGAGAUGGAGUCUCUCUCUGUCGCCCAGCCCAUACUGGAGUGCAAUGGCACGAUCUUGGCUCACUGCAACCUCCGCCUCCUGGGCUCUCAAAAAAAAAAAAAAUUACAAAACGAAAACAACAAGCUGCCCGUUGCUUAUUUUAUUGUUAUUUGUUUUUGAGAUGGAGUCUCACUUGUUGCCCAGGCUGGAGUGCAGGGGCACAUAUCUGUUCACUGCAACCUCCACCUCCCAGGCUCAAGAGAUUGUCCUGCCUCAGCCUCCCGAGUAGCUGGGAUCAUAGGUGUGCACCACCACACCCAGCUAAUUGCUCAUUACUUAAUCUCAGGCUCCCCACUCAAAAUUUUUCCUGUCAGGUGUAUGAUUUAAAGGGGGAGGCCUCAAAAUACUUGCAGCUUGUGUCCUGUCUGGCUUUAGAACUUCUGGUGUUUGGUGCAUUUUAACUUCAGCGCUUGCACUUUUUUCCUGUGCCUGCCUAAUCUGUCUCUACCCUGGGAUGUCUUCUCUUCUAAAGAGUUCCUGGCCAUCCCUUGAUUUACAAAUGUGAUGUUGAUUUGUCAGCCCUGUAUUACAGUUACUCCUAUUCCUGUAUCCACCCCACGAUGCUGUCCAGUAGAUUUUUAGCCUUUGGGUUAGAAAUUGUUUUUUGUUCACCAUUAAUAUCCAUUUGAGAGCUGGGUAGCACUGUGAUUGUGAUUCAGCAAUUGCAUGGGCUUUUUCCUCUUCUCAGAACACUUCCUGGGUCUGAUUGGUGGCCCAGGGAGCUGUCAGAGAAGAGCCGAGCAAAUGGCCUUCACUUUGUAGAUGAGAUGGCAGGAGGGUGGAUUGUUGGUCUCAGUCAGUGGUGGGACAGACCAGAGCUCCGAACACUUCAGUUUUAAAACUAGUUGUGAGUUUCCAAUUCUGUUAAUGUCUUUUUUGGUCCUUGUUUCUGCUAAAUGAAUACAUCCCCUCCCCUUGGAACUUAAUAUCAAUAAAUAACAAGCACAGAAAUAUGCAAAAGGGCCAGGUCUACUUGAAGAAUUUGUGAGGAUUAAAUGGUUUAUGAGUAGAGGUGGGUCAGUCAGUAAGUAUUGGCUACCUCAUGUGUGUCCCAUUACUAACUUGGUUAGACUUAUCUAUUUUUUGUGUAGUCUUCCUGUCAUUAUAAAAAUUCUGUGUAAGGACCCCAUGCUAGUAUCAGUGAAGAUUGUGAAUCCAGGUGUGUCUGACUCUACAAUAGUUCUUCACAAGCAUUAUAUUUCACUGUGUAGUGAUACUUCAUUUUGAAAGUUGGGAAAAGCGUCUUUUUCACUUUAGUACAGAUGGGUGUAAAAGUUACUUAGGACACUGGAAAACAGUUCAUUAAAAGUAAAACAAAGCCUGGUGCUUGGGCCCAGGAAUUCAAACUGUUUUCCAGUGUAAAUCUGAAUAGCUUGGUCUCUGCUCAUUGCCAGGACUGGGAGGAGUUGGGGGUCCCAGGUCCCAUUUCUACAUCCCAAUUCAGUGAUACUGGGAUCUUAAUAACCUACCUGUGAGGUAAAGUUGGAAAAGGCAUAGGCAAGGAUAGUUGUCCUGAGAGUUUUACACUUGUGAGAAAAUACUGGCAGCUUUGAUUUUAAGAUGUGAAUAGAUGAUUGUGGUUCACGCCUAUACUCCCAGCACUUUGGGAGGCCAGGCUUGCCAACAUGGCAAAACCCUGUCUCUAUG